RNAcentral lists this ribosomal RNA (800 nucleotides) under uncultured bacterium. RNAcentral's name for it is "bacterial SSU rRNA". It matches the Rfam family "Bacterial small subunit ribosomal RNA", at positions 8 to 782 of the family's 1533-position model. The record is from RNAcentral.
AGAGUUUGAUCCUGGCUCAGAACGAACGCUGGCGGCGUGCUUAACACAUGCAAGUCGUACGAGAAAAGAGGGGCAACUCUCUGAGUAAAGUGGCGCACGGGUGAGUAACGCGUGGGUAACCUACCCUUGAAUUGGGGAUAACUCCGCGAAAGCGGGGUUAAUACCGAAUAAUAUUCCGAUUUCUUUGGGGAUUGGAAUCAAAGAUGGCCUCUGCAUGCAAGCUAUCGUUUAAGGAUGGGCCCGCGUACCAUUAGCUUGUUGGUAGGGUAAUAGCCUACCAAGGCAACGAUGGUUAGCUGGUCUAAGAGGAUGGCCAGCCACACUGGAACUGAGACACGGUCCAGACUCCUACGGGAGGCAGCAGUGGGGAAUCUUGCGCAAUGGGGGAAACCCUGACGCAGCAACGCCGCGUGGGUGAUGAAGGCCUUCGGGUCGUAAAGCCCUGUCAGGUGGGAAGAAACUUGUGGAUGCUAAUACCAUCCAUACUUGACGGUACCACCGGAGGAAGCACCGGCUAACUCCGUGCCAGCAGCCGCGGUAAUACGGAGGGUGCAAGCGUUGUUCGGAAUUAUUGGGCGUAAAGCGCGUGCAGGUGGUCGGGCAAGUCAGAUGUGAAAGCCUUCCGCUUAACGGAAGAAGUGCAUUUGAAACUGCUCGGCUAGAGUACGGGAGAGGAGAGUGGAAUUCCCGGUGUAGAGGUGAAAUUCGUAGGUAUCGGGAGGAACACCAGUGGCGAAGGCGGCUCUCUGGUCCGAUACUGACGCUGAGACGCGAAAGCGUGGGGAGCAAACAGGAUUAGA